AGUCUAUUGUGCUGGCCUGGCUUUGGCUGACUGGCUCUGACCGCGCUGCCGCCAGUCCCUGCGCACAUCAGUCCACCUGCCGUCCAUCAGCCCGAGCAGGUCCGCCCGCCGUGCAGUCCAUCUCCCCAUUCCACGCGUGGAAGUCAGAGUGCAUUAUGUUUCUCACCAGCCGCGCUGCGUACUGAGGUCUGGCGGGCGGGGAGUUGCAGCCACAGCGUGUCCGCAGGUUCGAGCCCAGGGCUAAAGUACCAGCGUGGAAACUUACCUGGGACCACAAGUUGGUGCUGAAAGUCAGUAUUUUUUUCUCUUUAUUUAUUUUUUAUUUUCUGAGACAGGGUCUCGCUCUGUCGCCCAGGCUGGAGUGCAAUGGCGCGAUCUCGGCUCACUGCAACCUCCGCCUCCCGGCUUCAAGCGAUUCUCCUGCCUCAGCCUCCCGAGUAGCUGGGAUUAUGCCCGGUAAUUUUUGUUUCUUUAGAAGAGACAAGGUUUCUCCAUGUUGGCCAGUUUUGCGCCCUGCCAGUUUUCUCUUUAAAAGAACUAAGUACAGGCCGGGAGCGGUGGCUCACUCCUGUAAUCCCAACACUUUGGGAGGCCGAGGCAGGUGGAUCACUUGAGGCGAGGAGUCCAAGACCAGCCUGGCCAACAUGGUGAAACCUUUCCUUUUCUGUAAGAGGAAAAAGAAUUCUGGCUGGGUGCAGUGGCUCAUGCCUGUAAUCCCAGCACUUUGGAAGGCCGAGGUGGGCGGAUCACCUGAGGUCGGGAAUUUGAGACCAGCCUGACCGACAUGGAGAAACCCCGUCUCUACUAAAAAUACAAAAGUAGACGGGCGUGGUGGCGCAUGCCUGUAAUCCUAGCUACUCCAGAGGCUGAGGCAGGAGAAUCACUUGAACCCGGGAGGCGGAGGUUGCGGUGAGCCGAGAUCGCGCCAUUUCCAGCCUGGGCAACAAGAGCGAAACUCCGUCUCAAAAAAAAAAAAAAAAAAAAAAAAAGACUUCUAAGGUAUGCUUUGUUAUGUCAACUAAAGAAAAAAAAAAACAAGCUUUUAAAUAUUUAAAGUUAGUUCUAUUCAGAAGUCUUACCAAGAAUUGCAACCCGGGAGAGCCUUUCAGGGAGUUUCUGCUAGACUGCUCCAAAGCAGUGUUUCCGACAGUUUAUACACUGGUGGUGGCGGCUCUCCAUGUGCUCAGAAAUUACAUCAAAUGUGCUCAGAAGUUACAUUAGAGCAUAAAUCUCAUCAAGGUUUGGGUGCAAGAGUACAUCUGUUUAUAGGUCACAGAAGCAUAAUCAUUAAUCCUGUCAGACAGUAUCUUAAGUACAGGAAGAGGCAAGGGCUAGGAUCAUUGCAUUUUUUACCAUGUUGGCCAGGCUGAUAUCAAACUCCUGGCCUCAAGCAAUCCACCCACCUCAGCCUCCCAAAGUGCUAGGAUUACAGGGGUGAGCCACCACACCUUACCCAAAAACUACUCUUAUACUUAAAAUAAAACUAUCUUUAUAAAAAUCAUGCCAGAUGCCAUGACCACAGGCUCUCACACCACACCCAGCUAAUUUUUUUUUAUUUUUUGUGGAGACGGGGGUCUCAUUAUGUUGCCCAGGCUGAUCUUAAACUCCUGAGCUCAAGUGAUCCUCCUACCUCAGCCUCCCAAAGUGCUGGGAUUACAGUCAUGAGCCACCGUGCCAGGCUGACUUUAUUUCUUAUAAAGGGUUACAACCUGCAGGCUGGGAGGUGGGCUUCUGGUCAAAACCAGAGACAGACCCUUAAAAAGAGGCAGGAGCUUUAUGUCGAAUGGCUUGGCUAAACAUACAUAUUCGGCCGGGCACGGUGGCUCACACCUGUAAUCCCAAACUUUGGGAGGCCGAGGUGGGCGGAUCACAAGGUCAGGAGAUUGAGACCAUCCUGGCUAACAUGGUGAAACCCCGUCUCUACUAAAAAUACAAAAAAUCUGCCAGGCAUGAUGGCAUGUGCCUAUAAUCCCAGCUACUCGGGAAGCUGAGGCAGAAGAAUCGCUUGAACCUGGGAGGCGGAGGUUGCAGUGAGCCGAGAUCGCGCCACUGCACUCCAGCCUGGGUGACAGAGCGAGACUCUGUCUCAAAAAAGAAAAAACAAAAACAAAAAAUACCAUAUUCAACAGGUUACAGGAAGAGCUAUAGAUACUCAUGAAGGGGGUCCUAAUGCAAGUAUACUGAAUAAACAUGUGUGUUGUAUAUGACCCAUGUUCACUUUGGGGUGGAGACUUAACAUUGAAAUACAUUACAGGCCGGGUGCGGUGGCUCACGCCUAUAAUCUCAGCACUUUGGGAAGCCGAGGUGGGUGGCUCACGAGGUCAGAAGAUCAAGACCAUCCUGGCCAACACAGUAAAACCCCGUCUCUACUAAAAAUACAAAAAUUAGCUGGGCGUGGUGGCGUAUGCCUGUAGUCCCAGCUACUCAGGAGGGUGAGGAAGGAGAAUCACUUGAAACCGGGAAGCGGAGGUUGCAGUGAGCCAAGAUCGCACCACUGCACUCCAGCCUGGGCUACAGAGGGAGACUCCAUCUCAAAAAAAAAAAAAAAAAAGAAAAGAAAUACAAUUAGCACCAUAUGUCAAAAUGAAGGAUACAAAAGCACUCAGUGCACAGGUUCCAUAAACCAACUGAAGCCAGUCCCUGGUCAGUGGUCUCUUAUUAGGAAAAAGUCACCAAAAUCCAUCUCUUGUGCAAUCAAAGCUAUAGUUAUGGCUUGUGGGGUCAGUGUCUGGUGAUGGAUGAACUGCAAUUGUUUCUAUAUUGCUUAUCUCAAGGCCAGUGCUUGUUUAGCUGCUGGAGAAAAAGAAAAACCUUGCAGCAGUUAGAACAUAGUUUAUUCUUUGGUGAACGGCUUAACUCUUGCCUGGCAUGGCCUUAAUGUCUUGUUUAUACUUUGGUAUCUUAUUGCUACAAAGGGUUCAUUCUCUCAGUCUUAUGAUCUCUAUUUUUUUCUUUCUUUUUUGAGACAGAGUCUCAUUCUGUCACCCAGGCUGGAGUGCAGUGGCAGGAUCUCUGCUCACUGCAACCUCCAUCUCCCAGGUUCAAGCAAUUCUCCUGCCUCGGCCUCCCGAGUAGCUGGAACUGCAGGCACAUGCCAACAUCGCUAAUUUUUGACAGAGUCUCAUUCUGUCACCCAGGCUGAAGUGCAGUGGCGUGAUCUUGGCUCACUGCAACCUCAGCCUCCUGGAUUCAAGCAAUUCUCCUGCCUCAGCCUUCCAAGUAGCUGGGACGCCACACGCCACCAUGCCCUGGCUCAAGUGAUCCUUCUACCUCAGGCUCCUGAGUAGCUGGGAACACAGGUGCACACCAUCAUACCCAGCUAACUUUUAUAUUUUUUGUAGAGACAGGAUUUCACUAUGUGGCCCAGGCUGGUCUCAAACUCCAGGCUCAAGUGAGCCUCCUGCCUUGGCCUCCCAAAGUGCUGGGACUACAGAUGUGAGCCACCGCCCCUGGACGUGAUCUCUUUUUUUUUUUUUUUUGAGAUGGAGUCUCGCUCUGUUGCCAGGCUGGAGUGCAGUGGCAUGAUCUUGGCUCACUGCAACAUCCGCCUCCUGGGUUCAAGCGAUUCUCCUGCCUCAGGCUCCCAAGUAGCUGGGACUAAGGCAUGUGCCACCACACCCAGCUAAUUUUUGUAGUUUUAGUAGAGAUGGGAUUUCACCAUGUUGGCCAGGAUGGUCUCGAUCUCUUGACCUCGUGAUCUGCCAAAGUGCUGGGAUUACAGGCAUGAGCUACCACGCCCGACCUUUUUUAUUUUUGAGACCGAGUUUCGCUCUUGUUGCCCAGGUUGGAGUGCAAUGGCGCAAUCUUAUCAGCAACCUCUGCCUCCCGGGUUCAAGCGAUGCUCAUGCCUCAGUCUCCCGAGUAGCUGGGACUACAGGCAUGUGCCAUCACGCCUAGCUAAUUUUGUAUUUUUAGUAGAGAUGGGGUUUCUCCAUGUUAGUCAGGCUGGUCUCAAACUCCCAACCUCAGGUGAUCCACCCACCUUGGCCUCCCAAAGUGCUGGGAUUACAGGUGUGAGCCACCGCACCCGGCCUGCCUGCUUCCUUUCCUUCCUUCCUUCCUUCCCUCCCUCCUUCCUUUCCUUCCUUCCUUCCUCCCUUCCUUUCUCUCUCUUUCUUUUUUUUUUUUGAGAGGGUCUGGCUUUCUGUCACUCAGGCUGGAAUGCAGUGGUGUGAUCAUGGCUCACUGCAGCCUCAACCUUCCAGCUCAAGCCAUCUUCCCACUCCAGCCUCCUGAGUAGCUGGAACUAUAUAGGCAUGCACCAUCACACCCAGCUAAUUUUUAAAAACAUUUUUCUAGAGAUGGGGUCUCACUAUAUUCCCCAGUCUGGUCUUGAACUCCUAGGCUCAAGUGAUCCUCCCACCUCAGCCUCCCAAAUGAAAUAUUCCUAAACCCAGUCACCUAGCCUCCCUACCUAUACCCACUGCUACCCUGGGCUAAGAAGGGAAGGCCAUUGAAGUAGGAGACAACUAGGAAGUCUGAUGCUGGUUGGGAACGAUGCGUUUCAAGGGGUUGGUCAAAACAGGAAAUAUUACUAAAAGGUUAAGUGCAAGCAGUGAUCAUUGCAAUAAUUUUGCAACAGUGUUUGGUGACUCAUUGAUUCUCUGGAAUUUACUUGGUAUAUAGAGUGAGGUAAGGUCAAAAUAUCCUCUCUCCCCCUAAAAGGCAAACUAAAUUUUGUAACACCGUUUCUUGAUGAGGCCCUGUUUCCCUACCCAUCUCUGUUGUUCCCUCUAUCAUCCCAUAGAUUCUCAAACUUGUACCAGGUCCAUGCAGGCUGUGUUCUGUAGGGAGGGCUCUGGCACUCAACUUACCCUUCUUACUCUGUUUGAUACAUUCACCUAUUUAUUCUUCUAGAUGUUUCUU
Molecule: long non-coding RNA, 4866 nt
Filed under: Homo sapiens (human)
Lineage: Eukaryota; Metazoa; Chordata; Mammalia; Primates; Hominidae
Description: non-protein coding lnc-ATRIP-9:1
Source: RNAcentral